Molecule: ribosomal RNA, 523 nt
Filed under: Nassarius pauperatus
Lineage: Eukaryota; Metazoa; Mollusca; Gastropoda; Neogastropoda; Nassariidae
Description: partial 16S ribosomal RNA
Rfam family: Bacterial large subunit ribosomal RNA
Source: RNAcentral
AAACAUGGCUCCUCGAUCAAUUAAUAAUGAGGAGUCGGACCUGCCCAGUGAAUUUUUUAACGGCCGCGGUACUCUGACCGUGCAAAGGUAGCAUAAUCAUUUGCCUUAUAAUUGAAGGCUAGUAUGAAUGGUUUGACAAGAAUGUAGCUGUCUCUUUAUAAUUCUAUAGAAUUUUAUUUUCAGGUGAAGAAGCCUGUAUUUAAUUAAAAGACAAGAAGACCCUAUCGAGCUUUAAAAAAGUUAGUAGAAUUAAAAUUAAUAUUAAUAAAAGAUUGUCUACUAGAAAUUUUAGUUGGGGCGACUAAGGAACAUAAAAAGCUUCCUUUAAAAGAAGUUAAAUCAAACCGGAAUUGAUCCAAAACAUUUUGAUUAAAGGAAUUAGUUACCGUAGGGAUAACAGCAUUAUCUUUUUUAAGAGCUCAUAUCGAAAAAAAGGUUUGUGACCUCGAUGUUGGACCAGAAUAUCCUAAAGGUGCAGCAGCCUUUAAGGGUUGGUCUGUUCGACCAUUAAAAUUCUACGUGA